GAAUGCAAAAUUUGCAAAUUAAUAGACCCAAUCGCCCGCCUUCAAACCCCAGUGGUAGUCCUAGGCCUAGUGCAACGCCUUCUGGGCAGCAGCCACCUCCUUUUGCUGGUGUGCCACCUGAGAGUCGUCCAGGACCUCCUCCACCUGGCGCAUUCCAAAGGGGUCCUACGCAAGCUACAUUGCCUCCCAAUUUAAUUUCUAGACCAUCUGGCCCUCCUUCUGUGGGUCAACCUACACCACCCUUUGCAUCUAGGCCGCCUCUUGCUGGUGCAGUGCCUCCUUCUGUGGGUGGUACUGCCAUUCGCCCGCCACCUAGUGCUUUGCCUUCUGCACAAGGUCCUCGUGCCGGCCCACCAGGACCUUUUGCUGCUUCAACAAGCCCUCUUGUGCCGCCUUCUGGUGUUUCUAGUUCAGCUAGUAAUGGUCCACCUGCACUUGGUCCGGGGACAAUGCAGAAUGGACCACAUUUUUCUCCGGCAAGCAAUACAAUGAGGCCACCAGCUGGAGCUCCUCCAUCAGCAAUGUUAUCAUCUGGAAAUCCUUCUCACCCUCCAAGGAUGCGUUCACCCUUUGGAAGUCCACCUGCCAGCACAACAUCAGUUACUGCACAACCGCCACCUCCAUUUCCGGGAUCAGCUCACAAUGUGCCACCUCCUUCAGGUUCCUUCCCCUUUGCAUCACCAGUCCCAGCCAUGCCUCCUCCUAUGAGUGCUGCUUAUGGAAUGCAGACAUGGCACACGCA
This 742-nucleotide long non-coding RNA is filed under the name Nicotiana tabacum (common tobacco). RNAcentral describes it as "long non-coding RNA (NTAB_LNC006481)". Lineage: Eukaryota; Viridiplantae; Streptophyta; Magnoliopsida; Solanales; Solanaceae. The record is from RNAcentral.